This 74-nucleotide transfer RNA is filed under the name Dialister sp. RNAcentral describes it as "tRNA-Gly". It matches the Rfam family "tRNA". Rfam says of the family: Transfer RNA (tRNA) molecules are approximately 80 nucleotides in length. Their secondary structure includes four short double-helical elements and three loops (D, anti-codon, and T loops). Further hydrogen bonds mediate the characteristic L-shaped molecular structure. tRNAs have two regions of fundamental functional importance: the anti-codon, which is responsible for specific mRNA codon recognition, and the 3' end, to which the tRNAs corresponding amino acid is attached (by aminoacyl-tRNA synthetases). tRNAs cope with the degeneracy of the genetic code in two manners: having more than one tRNA (with a specific anti-codon) for a particular amino acid; and 'wobble' base-pairing, i.e. permitting non-standard base-pairing at the 3rd anti-codon position. Lineage: Bacteria; Bacillati; Bacillota; Negativicutes; Veillonellales; Veillonellaceae. The record is from RNAcentral.
GCGGCUGUGGUUUAGUGGUAGAACAUCUGCCUUCCAAGCAGAGGUCGCGGGUUCGAUUCCCGUCAGUUGCUCCA